This is a long non-coding RNA of Peromyscus californicus insignis, 1923 nucleotides long. RefSeq lists it as uncharacterized. The record is from RefSeq and is a predicted model, not a curated record. NCBI's taxonomy places the organism in Eukaryota, Metazoa, Chordata, Mammalia, Rodentia, Cricetidae. The transcript is spliced from 3 exons.
CUAGGUCGAAAGACAAAACUCAAAGUCAUAGUAGGUGGGCUGGGGACUCUUCAUUUGAAGGGACAUCCAAGGCAAACUGCCCUCUCUGAACUUUAGAGAAGCCACUUCCGGGGGGGGGGGGGAGCCCAUUGGGUGGAUUCUGCUGGCUGUGGGGCCAGAGGAGUCCCAAACUACUUGGGGUUGGGCCCCACCGAGCGGCAUCUCAGCCAAGUCCUGCUCUCAACCCAGCCGGGUCCAGGGAAACCGGCAGCAUGGAAUCCAGCCACGACACUAAGCACCUAGCACUCCACUACGCCUUGGGAAAUGGUCUUACUGGCACAUCUCCCGAGCCGCCUCGGAUAGCUCACCUCCCGGAAAGGAGGAGAGGAAAGCCAGAAGAAUGAAAGAGGAGGAGGGCCCGGACCCCCCGCAAAGAUGCUCUGGAAACCCAGUGGUCCACAGUGUCGCGCGAGCAGGACUCAUCCGCCUACCCGGUUUUGUCCCCCCCCCCCCCCCCCGUGUCCCUCCUGAGGCCAGGACACACCGUCCCUACUUGGAUCUGGACUGGGGACUCCAUUCAGGUCUGUGGGUCCUGCGGGGGGGAGGGGGGGCGAGAAUUCUCAUCCACUCCCAAUCCCACUGUAUUCUUCUGGGCCUGACCCUGAGCCCUGACCCACACGGCACACCCGGCUGGAGUGCACUUGGCUGGGCUUGGAUGCCCAAGGUCCGUUGAGUCUUGAGGCAGAGACUGGAGACCCGGGUCUGCCGGGAGUACGGAGGCCGACGCUUCGCUCGGGCCUGGCCUCCACCCCCGUUCCUACCCCGGGCGGAUGCCUCUGGGCGGCGGGCCGUGCGCGGCGGGAUGCUGAGUGUCUGUGCGCGGGGCCGCCUAUAUUUACACCCAAAACAAAAUAAUUACACUCUUGUCGGAGGGAGAAAGCCAGUGAUUAGGCGCAGGCUCUUUGCGGCAAAGCAGUUUCUCAGUGGUACACCAGUAUAAUUUUUCACGGCUGGCUGAAAUCAAAGAGGGGAAGUAAUGAAUCCGGAGAGCAAUUUAAAUUUACAAUUUGUAACGCCGCCGCCGCCGCCGCCGCCGCCGCGCAGACCCGGCCGAGAGCGCAGCUCCCAGGCGUUCACUGCGUUUGUUUAAUGUUAAAGCUUCGCUGGCUCUUGGUGGGGUGGGGGGUGGGGGUUGGAUAAGGAUGCGUGAUGGGGUAGGGGGGGGUAAUGAUCGAGAUCGGAAGGGAACUGGCUGCUUCGACACCUGAGAUGCUUGGGGGCGGGGGGAAAGGCGGGAGGACAAGGGGCAAACCUCCUGGAUCCCCGCCCCCUCAAUCCCCCACCCCCCGGCCAGCGCCGGGCCUCCAGCCUGCCCCUUCAUAAAUAAAAAUAAAUAAAUAAACGCAUAAAUAAAUAAGUACAAAACAAACAAAAACAACCCCGGCUGCUCGGGCCAUUCUAAGGCGGGUAGCGAGUUAAGAAGACUUCGAAGGACUCAGAGAUGGCCGGCCUCUUUCUUGCUUGGUUGAAGAAUUUCCGAGGCAUGGGGAGCCGAGCGGAGCAGAGGUGCGCCCGGCGGCGACCCAACGGAAAUGUCCUGCUCAGCCCGCGGCGCAAGAGGCACCUCCUUCCUCCACCGCUGUCCAGUGUCCCCAGCUGGAAACCGGGAGAAAGACACCCCCACGCCCAAGCUCUCCGGGUCUUGAAACUCCCACUCCAGCCGGGAGGUGUGCGUCUCUUCGCCAGUAAUUAAUUACCGAACUCAAGGGGGAAUAUGCAAGGAACAUUUUACUAACUCUACAGGGCUUAAGUGAUUGGAAACAGAUUAUUAUCGUGUUUGUCUUUUGUCUGUUUCAUUUAUCCCCGCACCGUCUGUUGAGCAGUAAUGUUGAUACUCUUUACUCUAGAAGGGAGAUUUUUAUAUAGUAAAUUCCAUCAACAUCU